Molecule: non-coding RNA, 25 nt
Filed under: Rattus norvegicus (Norway rat)
Lineage: Eukaryota; Metazoa; Chordata; Mammalia; Rodentia; Muridae
Source: RNAcentral
GGCCCACGGCAAUUCUCUGGUGGUA